UGCAGUCGAACGAGGNNUAUGACUUCGGUUAUAGAGCCGAGUGGCAAACGGGUGAGUAACGCGUGGGAAUCUGCCUAGUGGAAUGGAACAACUGCGGGAAACUGCAGCUAAUACCAAAUAAGCCCUGAGGGGGAAAGACUUCGGUCGCCAUUAGAGGAGCCCGCGUCAGAUUAGGUAGUUGGUAAGGUAAAAGCUUACCAAGCCAAUAAUCUGUAGCUGGUCUGAGAGGAUGAUCAGCCACACUGGGACUUAGAUACGGCCCAGACUCCUACGGGAGGCAGCAGUGGGGAAUAUUGGACAAUGGGGGCAACCCUGAUCCAGCAAUACCGCGUGAGUGAUGAAGGCCUUAGGGUUGUAAAACUCUUUCAGUAGGGACGAUGAUGACGGUACCUACAGAAGAAGCUCCGGCUAACCCCGUGCCAGCAGCCGCGGUAAGACGAAGGGAGCUAGCGUUAUUCGGAAUUACUGAGCGUAAAGGGCACGUAGGUGGUUUGUUAAGUUAGGCGUGAAAGCCCUGGGCUCAACCCAGGAACUGCGUUUAAUACUGGCAAACUUGAGAUCGGUAGAGGAAAGUGGAAUUUCUAGUGUAGAGGUGGAAUUCGUAGAUAUUAGAAAGAACACCAGAGGCGANNGCGACUUUCUGGGCCGAAUCC
This 653-nucleotide ribosomal RNA is filed under the name uncultured bacterium. Its description in RNAcentral is "bacterial SSU rRNA". It matches the Rfam family "Bacterial small subunit ribosomal RNA", at positions 56 to 741 of the family's 1533-position model. The record is from RNAcentral.